This 444-nucleotide ribosomal RNA is filed under the name uncultured Atopobium sp. RNAcentral describes it as "bacterial SSU rRNA". It matches the Rfam family "Bacterial small subunit ribosomal RNA", at positions 338 to 795 of the family's 1533-position model. Lineage: Bacteria; Bacillati; Actinomycetota; Coriobacteriia; Coriobacteriales; Atopobiaceae. The record is from RNAcentral.
CCUACGGGGGGCAGCAGUGGGGAAUCUUGCACAAUGGGCGAAAGCCUGAUGCAGCGACGCCGCGUGCGGGACGAAGGCCUUCGGGUUGUAAACCGCUUUCAGCAGGGACGAGGCGUAAGUGACGGUACCUGCAGAAGAAGCCCCGGCUAACUACGUGCCAGCAGCCGCGGUAAUACGUAGGGGGCAAGCGUUAUCCGGAUUCAUUGGGCGUAAAGCGCUCGUAGGCGGUCUGUUAGGUCGGGAGUUAAAUCCGGAGGCUCAACCUCCGUCCGCUCCCGAUACCGGCAGACUUGAGUUUGGUAGGGGAAGGUGGAAUUCCUAGUGUAGCGGUGGAAUGCGCAGAUAUUAGGAAGAACACCAGUGGCGAAGGCGGCCUUCUGGGCCAUAACUGACGCUGAGGAGCGAAAGCUAGGGGAGCAAACAGGAUUAGAUACCCGUGUAGUC